RNAcentral lists this long non-coding RNA (272 nucleotides) under Elaeis guineensis (African oil palm). Its description in RNAcentral is "long non-coding RNA (EGUI_LNC033657)". Lineage: Eukaryota; Viridiplantae; Streptophyta; Magnoliopsida; Arecales; Arecaceae. The record is from RNAcentral.
GGUAGUUGCCAUGACCCUCGAUUCAAAUCUCGGGUCGGAGGCGUGACAAUCACCCUUUUAAAAAUAUAGAUAUCCUUUAAGAUGUUGAAAAGCAGCGAGGUAAUCACAAACAUCAUCAACAACGCAGUAAGGCAAUGAGGCAAACUAAUAGCGGAAGAGCUUCAGAACUAACGGCAGAUGCAGUCAUUAAAUAGUGAAGAAUUCACAGAAAAACUUUAGAAUUAACAGAAGAGCUUCAACGAAACAUCAGUGAUAAGUAGAAAGAAGGGAGA